This 497-nucleotide ribosomal RNA is filed under the name uncultured bacterium. RNAcentral describes it as "partial 16S ribosomal RNA". It matches the Rfam family "Bacterial small subunit ribosomal RNA", at positions 28 to 507 of the family's 1533-position model. The record is from RNAcentral.
GAUGAACGCUGGCGGCGUGCCUAAUACAUGCAAGUCGAGCGAACAGACGAGGAGCUUGCUCCUCUGACGUUAGCGGCGGACGGGUGAGUAACACGUGGAUAACCUACCUAUAAGACUGGGAUAACUUCGGGAAACCGGAGCUAAUACCGGAUAAUAUAUUGAACCGCAUGGUUCAAUAGUGAAAGACGGUUUUGCUGUCACUUAUAGAUGGAUCCGCGCCGCAUUAGCUAGUUGGUAAGGUAACGGCUUACCAAGGCAACGAUGCGUAGCCGACCUGAGAGGGUGAUCGGCCACACUGGAACUGAGACACGGUCCAGACUCCUACGGGAGGCAGCAGUAGGGAAUCUUCCGCAAAGGGCGAAAGCCUGACGGAGCAACGCCGCGUGAGUGAUGAAGGUCUUCGGACCGUAAAACUCUGUUAUUAGGGAAGAACAAAUGUGUAAGUAACUAUGCACGUCCUGACGGUACCUAAUCAGAAAGCCACGGCUAACUACGUG